GAUGAACGCUGGCGGCGUGCCUAAUACAUGCAAGUCGAGCGAACGGACGAGGAGCUUGCUCCUCUGACGUUAGCGGCGGACGGGUGAGUAACACGUGGAUAACCUACCUAUAAGACUGGGAUAACUUCGGGAAACCGGAGCUAAUACCGGAUAAUAUUUUGAACCGCAUGGUUCAAUAGUGAAAGACGGUUUUGCUGUCACUUAUAGAUGGAUCCGCGCUGCAUUAGCUAGUUGGUAAGGUAACGGCUUACCAAGGCAACGAUGCGUAGCCGACCUGAGAGGGUGAUCGGCCACACUGGAACUGAGACACGGUCCAGACUCCUACGGGAGGCAGCAGUAGGGAAUCUUCCGCAAUGGGCGAAAGCCUGACGGAGCAACGCCGCGUGAGUGAUGAAGGUCUUCGGAUCGUAAAACUCUGUUAUUAGGGAAGAACAAAUGUGUAAGUAACUAUGCACGUCUUGACGGUACCUAAUCAGAAAGCCACGGCUAACUACGUG
RNAcentral lists this ribosomal RNA (497 nucleotides) under uncultured bacterium. RNAcentral describes it as "partial 16S ribosomal RNA". It matches the Rfam family "Bacterial small subunit ribosomal RNA", at positions 28 to 507 of the family's 1533-position model. The record is from RNAcentral.